CUGAUGAGUCAUACGUCCACUUGAAUAAACACGCGCCUGGUUUCUCACGGGGCCACGAUUGCUAGCCUAGCCCACCUGGCCCACCACCGCUCGUUCCUCUCUCGAUCCUUAUCCCGUACAGGAGAUUGUUCUCGUCCACUCGUUCAUCCCCUUUCUCAUCCCCUACCUCCAGCUAGCGCUUACCUUCAGCCAGCACCCAAAUUAAGUCGCCACAGAAUCACCCCCGCUCCCAUUGCAGGCCUUUUUUCAUCUAGAUCGGGUAGAGAUGGGGCUGGCAGCCAACCACCCCGUCGCUAUUGUCCAUUGUGCGAGGUUGGACACUUUUGCAACCCGCACGACUGGAGAUGACGGCCACCGGUGCUUCAACCGACUUACUCCUGGCGGGGGCCGGAUGCUACAACCAUUGGAUGGAGGUGCUAGAACCGCCCAAUAGAGGUGCUGCAACGACAUGACAGAGAUGCCACAACCAAUCAACGGCGGUGCUAGGAACCGCCUGGGAGCGAAGCUGCAUCCGUUCCCGGCGAAAGUGGCAUCCCUUCCCGGCGAAAGUUGCAUCCGUUACCGGUGAAAACUGCAUCCUGUCACCGGCGGCACCGCGACAACACGCGGGAGGUGUUGGAACCGGCUGCCGGAGGUGUUGCAUCCGUUUCCGGCGAAGCUACAGCCGGCGGUGCUGCAACCACAUUGAUCUAUGCUGGAACCAAACAGCCGUCGAAGUUGUUUUGCUAGCACCGACGAUUUGUUUUGCUGGAACCGCCGACGACGGCGGCGAGCUAGAUGCGGCAGCCCUGAAGAUGUUGCAGACCACGACGAGCACGCGCUGGAACCAGUCGGUGGGAGAGGUGCAGUCGUCACCGAUCGAAGCUGGAACCACCGGCGGCCGUGUUGAAUCUCGCCGGCGAUGGCGAGACGGCGAAUGUCGUCGACGAUAUAGCAGCCUGCACGGCAGUUAUAUUUUUCGUAAGGACGUACGACGGAGGAUGUGCACGCCAGCGCUGGGUCAACGCGCGCUCGCUAUGUGAUUAUUUAGACGAUCGGUGGGGAAAGAAAAGUUGAAGUAGUGCUAAUCGAACGGUUAAAAAAGACAAAUCGCCGGCGCCUAUCACUCGCCAUUUUUUUUAUAAACUUCUUCUCCUUUAUUCAUUCAUAAAUAAAGUAGCAUCGUUUACAAA
Triticum aestivum (bread wheat) is the source of this 1172-nucleotide long non-coding RNA. RefSeq lists it as uncharacterized. The record is from RefSeq and is a predicted model, not a curated record. The transcript has 2 exons. Lineage: Eukaryota; Viridiplantae; Streptophyta; Magnoliopsida; Poales; Poaceae.